Molecule: ribosomal RNA, 382 nt
Filed under: uncultured eukaryote
Lineage: Eukaryota
Description: partial 18S ribosomal RNA
Rfam family: Eukaryotic small subunit ribosomal RNA
Source: RNAcentral
CAAUAGCGUAUAUUAAAGUUGUUGCAGUUAAAAAGCUCGUAGUUGGAUUUCUGGUUGAAGCGACCGGUCGGGCGUUGAUUCGUCUGCACUGGAGUCGGUUUUGGCCAUCCUCUAGGAAAGUGCGUCUGGUAUUAAGUUAUCGGGCGUAUGAUCCUGGUCUUUUACUGUGAAAAAAUUAGAGUGUUUAAAGCAGGCCUUCGCCUUGGAUACAUUAGCAUGGAAUAAUAAGAUAGGACUUUGGUCUAUUUUGUUGGUUUGCAGACCGAAGUAAUGAUUAAUAGGGAUAGUUGGGGGUAUUUAUAUUCCGAUGUCAGAGGUGAAAUUCUUAGAUUUUCGGAAGAUAAACUUAUGCGAAAGCAUUUACCAAGGAUGUUUUCAUUAA